Molecule: transfer RNA, 93 nt
Filed under: Roseisolibacter agri
Lineage: Bacteria; Pseudomonadati; Gemmatimonadota; Gemmatimonadia; Gemmatimonadales; Gemmatimonadaceae
Description: tRNA-Ala
Source: RNAcentral
GCCGCGUGGGCGAGUGGCUGGCGCGCCGGCUCGGCGCGCCGGAGCGCUCGGGCGCGGUGGGCGCCACCGCGUUCCGCGCCACCGAGGUGGCCC